RNAcentral lists this transfer RNA (62 nucleotides) under Acanthaspis cincticrus. RNAcentral's name for it is "tRNA-Thr". The record is from RNAcentral. Lineage: Eukaryota; Metazoa; Arthropoda; Insecta; Hemiptera; Reduviidae.
GUUUUAAUAGUUUAAAAAAAAUAAUGAUCUUGUAAAUCAUAGUUAGAAUAUUCUUUAAAACU